CAGCCAGCUAAACUAAUUUAAUACUCUUAUUACUUUCCUACAUACAAACUAAAAUAGUAGAGUACGUAAUAUAUUAGACAUGCUGGUGCAUCGUAAUAAACUAAAAUAGUAGACAUUACAUAAUAUAUUAGACAUGAUACAUAACGUUGUUGGCUGGAUAGUAAAAUUAUAUAAACAGAUUAUGGAUAUUAUGGUUAAUAAUUUAAGUCUUUCCAAUCCAUCAGAAGUCUCACUCACUCAAAUAUGUUUAGGACAAAAUGAUCUAUUAAUUGAUUAUUUCUUUCAAUUUGAAUUUAAAAGUUUACCAAUUUUGACAACAUAUUAGACGAGAAAUUUAGUUGAGUUAGCCGGCAAACAUAUAUAAUUCCAUAAUUUAUAUUUUUAUACUGCAUACAUCAAGAAAAAAAUUAAUAGCAUGUUAAUCAAUUUAAUAGACGUGCGACAUAUAUUUUUUAGCCGGCUAAAUUUCUUUAGUACUUAUAUUAUGUUAUAUUUUAGGAUAGAACUUAGGUUCACCCCCAUAGGGUGAACCUUUAAAUUCACUCCACUUUUUACGACCAAUCAAAGUGACACAUAGAUUAUUAAUUAAAAAAUAUUAAAUUAAAUAAAAAAUAACUACAAAAAAUAAAAACGCUAAUUUUAACGACGCUAACGCUUCCAGCUAAACCCUAAAUCUUAAAUUCUAAAUCCUAUACCCUAAAUUCUAAACCCAAAUCCAAACCGCUAAACCCAAACUCUAUACCCUAAACCCUAAUCCUAGACCCUAAACCCAAAUUAUAUACUUUAAACCCAAAAACUAGACUAUAAACCUAAACUCUAUAUCCUAAACCCAAGUCGUAGACCCUAAACCCAAACCGUAAAUCUUAAACCCAAAUUAUAUACCCUAAACCCAAAACUUUAACCAUAAGUCCAAACGGUAAAUCCUAAACCCAAACCGUAAAUCC
This 944-nucleotide long non-coding RNA is filed under the name Brassica napus (rape). RNAcentral's name for it is "long non-coding RNA (BNAP_LNC016119)". The record is from RNAcentral. Lineage: Eukaryota; Viridiplantae; Streptophyta; Magnoliopsida; Brassicales; Brassicaceae.